This 203-nucleotide long non-coding RNA is filed under the name Homo sapiens (human). Its description in RNAcentral is "non-protein coding lnc-DEPP1-2:16". The record is from RNAcentral. Lineage: Eukaryota; Metazoa; Chordata; Mammalia; Primates; Hominidae.
CGGAGCCUCACCCAGAGCCUUCUGGGGUGGUGGAUAGCUGCUAAGAAGACCGCAGCAGCCUUCAUAAGUUGUAUCUUCCCCUUUACUGAAGAAUCACCAGUCACCUACAGUUGCACAGCAAGCAUGGGAAAAUAACUGAAAUUUUGAUGUGCCAUUUCUCACUUCUUUAAGAACCCUCCUUCAAAUUCCUGAAUAAAGCUGCU